RNAcentral lists this ribosomal RNA (249 nucleotides) under uncultured bacterium. RNAcentral's name for it is "partial 16S ribosomal RNA". It matches the Rfam family "Bacterial small subunit ribosomal RNA", at positions 524 to 767 of the family's 1533-position model. The record is from RNAcentral.
UACGUAGGGGGCAAGCGUUGUCCGGAUUUAUUGGGCGUAAAGAGCGUGUAGGCGGCUUUACAGGUCCGUUGUGAAAACUCGAGGCUCAACCUCGAGACGCCGGUGGAAACCGUAAGGCUAGAGUCCGGAAGAGGAGAGUGGAAUUCCUGGUGUAGCGGUGAAAUGCGCAGAUAUCAGGAGGAACACCGGUGGCGAAGGCGGGUCUUGCCGUGGCCGAUGACUGACGGUGAGGAAGCGAAGGCGUAGGGA